UGCCCUUGACUCUGGGAUAAGCCUGGGAAACUGGGUCUAAUACCGGAUAUGACCUUCCAUCGCAUGGUGGUUGGUGGAAAGCUUUUGUGGUUUUGGAUGGACUCGCGGCCUAUCAGCUUGUUGGUGGGGUAAUGGCCUACCAAGGCGACGACGGGUAGCCGGCCUGAGAGGGUGACCGGCCACACUGGGACUGAGACACGGCCCAGACUCCUACGGGAGGCAGCAGUGGGGAAUAUUGCACAAUGGGCGCAAGCCUGAUGCAGCGACGCCGCGUGAGGGAUGACGGCCUUCGGGUUGUAAACCUCUUUCAGUAGGGAAGAAGCGUAAGUGACGGUACCUGCAGAAGAAGCGCCGGCUAACUACGUGCCAGCAGCCGCGGUAAUACGUAGGGCGCAAGCGUUAUCCGGAAUUAUUGGGCGUAAAGAGCUCGUAGGCGGUUUGUCGCGUCUGCCGUGAAAGUCCGGGGCUCAACUCCGGAUCUGCGGUGGGUACGGGCAGACUAGAGUGAUGUAGGGGAGACUGGAAUUCCUGGUGUAGCGGUGAAAUGCGCAGAUAUCAGGAGGAACACCGAUGGCGAAGGCAGGUCUCUGGGCAUUAACUGACGCUGAGGAGCGAAAGCAUGGGGAGCGAACAGGAUUAGAUACCCUGGUAGUCCAUGCCGUAAACGUUGGGCACUAGGUGUGGGGGACAUUCCACGUUUUCCGCGCCGUAGCUAACGCAUUAAGUGCCCCGCCUGGGGAGUACGGCCGCAAGGCUAAAACUCAAAGGAAUUGACGGGGGCCCGCACAAGCGGCGGAGCAUGCGGAUUAAUUCGAUGCAACGCGAAGAACCUUACCAAGGCUUGACAUGAACCGGAAAGAUCUGGAAACAGGUCCCCCACUUGUGGUCGGUUUACAGGUGGUGCAUGGUUGUCGUCAGCUCGUGUCGUGAGAUGUUGGGUUAAGUCCCGCAACGAGCGCAACCCUCGUUCUAUGUUGCCAGCACGUGAUGGUGGGGACUCAUAGGAGACUGCCGGGGUCAACUCGGAGGAAGGUGGGGACGACGUCAAAUCAUCAUGCCCCUUAUGUCUUGGGCUUCACGCAUGCUACAAUGGCCGGUACAAAGGGUUGCGAUACUGUGAGGUGGAGCUAAUCCCAAAAAGCCGGUCUCAGUUCGGAUUGGGGUCUGCAACUCGACCCCAUGAAGUCGGAGUCGCUAGUAAUCGCAGAUCAGCAACGCUGCGGUGAAUACGUUCCCGGGC
RNAcentral lists this ribosomal RNA (1240 nucleotides) under Arthrobacter sp. HDL10. Its description in RNAcentral is "bacterial SSU rRNA". It matches the Rfam family "Bacterial small subunit ribosomal RNA", at positions 127 to 1379 of the family's 1533-position model. Lineage: Bacteria; Bacillati; Actinomycetota; Actinomycetes; Micrococcales; Micrococcaceae. The record is from RNAcentral.